Molecule: ribosomal RNA, 763 nt
Filed under: uncultured Streptococcus sp.
Lineage: Bacteria; Bacillati; Bacillota; Bacilli; Lactobacillales; Streptococcaceae
Description: bacterial SSU rRNA
Rfam family: Bacterial small subunit ribosomal RNA
Source: RNAcentral
GAUGAACGCUGGCGGCGUGCCUAAUACAUGCAAGUAGAACGCUGAAGGAGGAGCUUGCUUCUCUGGAUGAGUUGCGAACGGGUGAGUAACGCGUAGGUAACCUGCCUGGUAGCGGGGGAUAACUAUUGGAAACGAUAGCUAAUACCGCAUAAGAGCAGUUGUUGCAUGACAGCUGUUUAAAAGGUGCAAUUGCACCACUAUCAGAUGGACCUGCGUUGUAUUAGCUAGUUGGUGAGGUAACGGCUCACCAAGGCGACGAUACAUAGCCGACCUGAGAGGGUGAUCGGCCACACUGGGACUGAGACACGGCCCAGACUCCUACGGGAGGCAGCAGUAGGGAAUCUUCGGCAAUGGGGGCAACCCUGACCGAGCAACGCCGCGUGAGUGAAGAAGGUUUUCGGAUCGUAAAGCUCUGUUGUAAGAGAAGAACGAGUGUGAGAGUGGAAAGUUCACACUGUGACGGUAUCUUACCAGAAAGGGACGGCUAACUACGUGCCAGCAGCCGCGGUAAUACGUAGGUCCCGAGCGUUAUCCGGAUUUAUUGGGCGUAAAGCGAGCGCAGGCGGUUAGAUAAGUCUGAAGUUAAAGGCUGUGGCUUAACCAUAGUACGCUUUGGAAACUGUUUAACUUGAGUGCAAGAGGGGAGAGUGGAAUUCCAUGUGUAGCGGUGAAAUGCGUAGAUAUAUGGAGGAACACCGGUGGCGAAAGCGGCUCUCUGGCUUGUAACUGACGCUGAGGCUCGAAAGCGUGGGGAGCAAACAGG